This is a long non-coding RNA of Rosa rugosa (rugosa rose), 325 nucleotides long. RefSeq lists it as uncharacterized. NCBI's taxonomy places the organism in Eukaryota, Viridiplantae, Streptophyta, Magnoliopsida, Rosales, Rosaceae. The transcript has 4 exons. The record is from RefSeq and is a predicted model, not a curated record.
UGGCAGAAAAACCUGUUUUGAAAUUUGAUAUGAUUUUCUCUCAUUUCUUUCACUUUCAGGUUGUGUAAAGGUGGAGAACUACUGGAUAAAAUUUUGUCCAUGGGUGGAAGAUACACAGAAGAAGAUGCUAAAGUUAUUGUUGUGCAAAUUUUAAGUGUUAUUGCCUAUUGUCAUCUUCAAGAUGUUGUGCAUUGUGAUCUAAAGCCAGAGAAUUUUCUUUUUGCCACAAGAGAAGAGGAUGCUUCAGUGGGGGUUAUUGAUUUUGGUCUCUCCGAUUUUAUAAGGCCUGGGAGAACAUUCCUGCAGUGUUACAUGGGCUCUAAGU